This 483-nucleotide ribosomal RNA is filed under the name uncultured bacterium. RNAcentral's name for it is "partial 16S ribosomal RNA". It matches the Rfam family "Bacterial small subunit ribosomal RNA", at positions 28 to 507 of the family's 1533-position model. The record is from RNAcentral.
GACGAACGCUGGCGGCGUGCUUAACACAUGCAAGUCGAACGCUGAAGCUCAGCUUUUGUUGGGUGGAUGAGUGGCGAACGGGUGAGUAACACGUGAGUAACCUGCCUCCUUCUUUGGGAUAACGCCCGGAAACGGGUGCUAAUACUGGAUAUUCACUGGUCUUCGCAUGGGGGUUGGUGGAAAGGGUUUUUCUGGUGGGGGAUGGGCUCGCGGCCUAUCAGCUUGUUGGUGGGGUGAUGGCCUACCAAGGCUUUGACGGGUAGCCGGCCUGAGAGGGUGACCGGUCACAUUGGGACUGAGAUACGGCCCAGACUCCGACGGGAGGCAGCAGUGGGGAAUAUUGCACAAUGGGCGCAAGCCUGAUGCAGCGACGCCGCGUGAGGGAUGGAGGCCUUCGGGUUGUGAACCUCUUUCGCUCAUGGUCAAGCCGCAACAAUGGUUGUGGUGAGGGUAGUGGGUAAAGAAGCGCCGGCUAACUACGUG